This 402-nucleotide ribosomal RNA is filed under the name uncultured prokaryote. Its description in RNAcentral is "bacterial SSU rRNA". It matches the Rfam family "Bacterial small subunit ribosomal RNA", at positions 355 to 774 of the family's 1533-position model. The record is from RNAcentral.
UGGGGAAUAUUGGACAAUGGGGGCAACCCUGAUCCAGCAAUGCCGCGUGAGUGAUGAAGGCCUUAGGGUUGUAAAGCUCUUUCGCACGCGACGAUGAUGACGGUAGCGUGAGAAGAAGCCCCGGCUAACUUCGUGCCAGCAGCCGCGGUAAUACGAAGGGGGCGAGCGUUGUUCGGAGUUACUGGGCGUAAAGGGCGCGUAGGCGGCCCGAUCAGUCAGAUGUGAAAGCCCCGGGCUCAACCUGGGAACUGCAUUUGAUACUGUCGGGCUUGAGUUCCGGAGAGGAUGGUUGAAUUCCCAGUGUAGAGGUGAAAUUCGUAGAUAUUGGGAAGAACACCGGUGGCGAAGGCGGCCAUCUGGACGGACACUGACGCUGAGGCGCGAAAGCGUGGGGAGCAAACA